This is a non-coding RNA of Neurospora crassa OR74A, 980 nucleotides long. NCBI's taxonomy places the organism in Eukaryota, Fungi, Ascomycota, Sordariomycetes, Sordariales, Sordariaceae. The record is from RefSeq and is a predicted model, not a curated record.
AUCAAAUGCCAAGACAGAUGCAGAAAAUCAGGAACCCAUGUACGACAUUCUCCAACACCACACAAGUCCCCAUCUCGCCCGAACUCGGGGUGAUGGAUUAUAUCACAUUACGAAGAGCGAGCCGGCAUGGCUAUCUACCUAGGUGAUAAGGAUCACAGGUAAUUUUGUUCAUCACGGACUACUCGAGCAAGUUGUUCGUCGUGUGCUGGGAAAGAGACCCUCCCACUUCUUGAGAAAGAAAAUAAAAACCUGAACAGUCAACACAAUAGGCGACCGCAGCUCAUAUCCGAAAUCCGAACAAGUCUCCAACAAGCGAGGACCUCAAAUAGGCGCCGAUUGCCCAGGAUUAGCCCUCACUUCACCUACUCUCUGUACUGUGCAAAUCGGCAUUUGUUUGGUACACAUCCACACACACACACACUACAUACAAGCUCCCACUACAUUAUAGACGCCCAUGUACUCCAGGUCCAACCCUGGACUUGUAAUGAGCUCACGAUAUACCCAAUACUGCAAAACUUGGACCGGUUGAGCGGUAUCUGUGCGGCAUCACUUGUGGGAAUGUGAUCGUGUCCCUACACACUCGACACUAGAGUCAUCACUUUGACGAGGAGGGCAGUGGAGGGUUCGGCUGCAGAUGUGAAACCCCCGUCCGUGAACUUCAUUGUGUUUGUGAUGAAGCUGACGGGACUGCUUCUACCUAUCAACCCAUCAUCACCAGCACCCCCGAAUGCAGGUCCGGUAUGAAGUCUGAUGUUGUUGCACUUUAACCGAGUACUACAGAUUAAACCACCAUUUCUCUACGCCACGGACCCUGACAGUCUUACUGCAACCCUGAUCCCGCCAAAGCAUCAAUGCCGAAGAGGUGGCCACGAUCUUGAAAGGCAGGACAGUCGCAUUCCAGAUAUCCUCGAUGCCGCCGAACCGAAUCUGCCUGGAAUCACCCUGUCAAGGGCAUGUGCGGAAUCCACUUGGCCCUUUUU